Molecule: long non-coding RNA, 173 nt
Organism: Sinocyclocheilus grahami
Lineage: Eukaryota; Metazoa; Chordata; Actinopteri; Cypriniformes; Cyprinidae
Exons: 3
Source: RefSeq, a predicted model, not a curated record
GUCGUUUGCUGAAGACUGACAUGGAGCUGGAAGUUCUGCGCUACACCAACCGCAUUUCCAGUGAAGCCCACAAAGAGGUGAUGAAACGUGUGAAGCCGGGCAUGAAAGAGUAUGAGAUGGAGAGUCUGUUCCAGCAUUACUGUUACUCUCGCGGAGGGAUGCAUCACACCUCA